UACGGGGGGGGCAAGCGUUGUUCGGAAUUACUGGGCGUAAAGGGCUCGUAGGCGGCCAACUAAGUCGGAUGUGAAAUCCCCAGGCUCAACCUGGGAACUGCAUCCGAUACUGGAUGGCUUGAAUUCGGGAGAGGGAUGCAGAAUUCCAGGUGUAGCGGUGAAAUGCGUAGAUAUCAGGAGGAACACCGGUGGUGUAGACGGCUUUCUGGACCGUAACUGACGCUGAGACACGAAAGCGUGGGUAGCAAACAGG
RNAcentral lists this ribosomal RNA (253 nucleotides) under uncultured bacterium. RNAcentral describes it as "partial 16S ribosomal RNA". It matches the Rfam family "Bacterial small subunit ribosomal RNA", at positions 524 to 776 of the family's 1533-position model. The record is from RNAcentral.